RNAcentral lists this ribosomal RNA (194 nucleotides) under uncultured bacterium. Its description in RNAcentral is "partial 16S ribosomal RNA". It matches the Rfam family "Bacterial small subunit ribosomal RNA", at positions 338 to 524 of the family's 1533-position model. The record is from RNAcentral.
CCUACGGGAGGCAGCAGUGGGGAAUAUUGCGCAAUGGGGGCAACCCUGACGCAGCCAUGCCGCGUGAAUGAAGAAGGCCUUCGGGUUGUAAAGUUCUUUCGGUAGCGAGGAAGGCAUUUAGUUUAAUAGACUAGGUGAUUGACGUUAACUACAGAAGAAGCACCGGCUAACUCCGUGCCAGCAGCCGCGGUAAU